Molecule: ribosomal RNA, 549 nt
Filed under: uncultured bacterium
Lineage: Bacteria
Description: bacterial SSU rRNA
Rfam family: Bacterial small subunit ribosomal RNA
Source: RNAcentral
UGGGGAAUUUUGNACAAUGGGCGCAAGCCUGAUCCAGCCAUGCCGCGUGUCUGAAGAAGGCCUUCGGGUUGUAAAGGACUUUUGUCAGGGAAGAAAAGGCUGUUGCUAAUAUCGACAGCUGAUGACGGUACCUGAAGAAUAAGCACCGGCUAACUACGUGCCAGCAGCCGCGGUAAUACGUAGGGUGCGAGCGUUAAUCGGAAUUACUGGGCGUAAAGCGAGCGCAGACGGUUACUUAAGCAGGAUGUGAAAUCCCCGGGCUCAACCUGGGAACUGCGUUCUGAACUGGGUGACUAGAGUGUGUCAGAGGGAGGUAGAAUUCCACGUGUAGCAGUGAAAUGCGUAGAGAUGUGGAGGAAUACCGAUGGCGAAGGCAGCCUCCUGGGAUAACACUGACGUUCAUGCUCGAAAGCGUGGGUAGCAAACAGGAUUAGAUACCCUGGUAGUCCACGCCCUAAACGAUGUCAAUUAGCUGUUGGGCAACUUGAUUGCUUAGUAGCGUAGCUAACGCGUGAAAUUGACCGCCUGGGGAGUACGGUCGCAAGAUUA